CGGGUCUGGGCGGUGACCUCUAGAGAAGUCGCUGCUGGGAGUGAAGUCACAACCCCUUGGCCCGCUAAACGGCAAAUAAAAGGGCUGCCCGAGAUGUAAGGCAGGUCCACGGGAGAAGGGGAGGGAUAGGCCCAGUUCCCCUCCGUCUCCUUCCUUUCUCCCUGAAGAGGCCCCGCCCUUCGAGGGGGGAGAAGCCCGCGCACCUGACCUUGGCACUUGGGACAGAAGGCAAGCGAGGGAGGGCAGGCGCCGUGGGUUUCCUAACGCCCGUACUGAUGGACAGAUUUUGCUCAUUUCCCCAAUGAACAUAAGGCUUUGAAAAAAAAAAAAGUUUAAAAAAAGGAAAGAAGAAAAAAAAAAACAAAAGCUGUGCUAUCGAUUUAGCCAAAAAGACCAGGAGAAGCAGCAGCAUCUGGCUGUAGGAACACCUGCCCCCCCACCUUCCAGGCCCCCCCCCCCGCCCCCCAGCACAUCCUGAGAAGGGCCGCAGCGAGCCACCGCCGGAAGGAACAGAAGAGCAACUAGCAAAGUCAUCUGUCGGCCCUUCACAUGAACUGGAGACAAAGGCAGAUUGGGUCCGGCCGCCCAGAGUUGGCAAGUACGAGCGAAGGCACUCACCACAGCAAAUAAAUGCAUGUCGGAAAGCAUCACAGGUACCUUGGAGUUCCUGUGUCUGCAGCCACGGCUCUGGGCUCGGGGACAGAGACGAGGUCGUCCUGCCUGGAGCUGGUAGCAAGAAGGCACCAGGAUGGGAAGCUUAAACACACACGUUCCAGCCCCUGGUCUCCCGGGGGUGUCUGUUCCAGAACACGGCUCCCUGAGAAGGUCGUGGUGGAUUGCUGAUUCUCUGAAGGCAGAGGAGGCGAAGAGGAAAGAUAAGCAGGUGUGUCUACAGCUCGCUCCUGCACCCCCGUCCCCCACCCCACGCCUGGACACCUUGCGUCGGUGUCCAUGGCAUCCGAACACCACUCUCCAGGCUCCCGGGUGCCAGGAGCGUGCUCUCACCUUGAAGAUAAAUUUGCACAGUGCGCACACCGUGUUCUGUGUGGAAAUUUUGCCUCUUUUACAGUGAUUCCAAUAGAGACUUCAGAGAAAUACUGCCUUCCAUGAAAAAGUCUCAGUAAAUACACUCCUCAGAAUUUUCAUUCUUAAUAUAUCAGUAGCUUUUCAGUUCA
Molecule: long non-coding RNA, 1175 nt
Organism: Hyaena hyaena (striped hyena)
Lineage: Eukaryota; Metazoa; Chordata; Mammalia; Carnivora; Hyaenidae
Exons: 2
Source: RefSeq, a predicted model, not a curated record